Molecule: ribosomal RNA, 708 nt
Filed under: Micrococcus luteus
Lineage: Bacteria; Bacillati; Actinomycetota; Actinomycetes; Micrococcales; Micrococcaceae
Description: bacterial SSU rRNA
Rfam family: Bacterial small subunit ribosomal RNA
Source: RNAcentral
CUGACGCUGAGGAGCGAAAGCAUGGGGAGCGAACAGGAUUAGAUACCUGGUAGUGCAUGCCGUAAACGUUGGGCACUAGGUGUGGGGACCAUUCCACGGUUGCGCGCCGCAGCUAACGCAUUAAGUGCCCCGCCUGGGGAGUACGGCCGCAAGGCUAAAACUCAAAGGAAUUGACGGGGGCCCGCACAAGCGGCGGAGCAUGCGGAUUAAUUCGAUGCAACGCGAAGAACCUUACCAAGGCUUGACAUGUUCUCGAUCGCCGUAGAGAUACGGUUUCCCCUUUGGGGCGGGUUCACAGGUGGUGCAUGGUUGUCGUCAGCUCGUGUCGUGAGAUGUUGGGUUAAGUCCCGCAACGAGCGCAACCCUCGUUCCAUGUUGCCAGCACGUAAUGGUGGGGACUCAUGGGAGACUGCCGGGGUCAACUCGGAGGAAGGUGAGGACGACGUCAAAUCAUCAUGCCCCUUAUGUCUUGGGCUUCACGCAUGCUACAAUGGCCGGUACAAUGGGUUGCGAUACUGUGAGGUGGAGCUAAUCCCAAAAAGCCGGUCUCAGUUCGGAUUGGGGUCUGCAACUCGACCCCAUGAAGUCGGAGUCGCUAGUAAUCGCAGAUCAGCAACGCUGCGGUGAAUACGUUCCCGGGCCUUGUACACACCGCCCGUCAAGUCACGAAAGUCGGUAACACCCGAAGCCGGUGGCCUAACCCUGUGG